CUCGGAUGGGUGACCUCCUGCGGAGUCCUUAUAUUUCACCCAUUUAUUUGUGAAGUCCUCGUGUCGCACCAAUUUUUUUUCAGACGGAUCGUUCGACGUUACGCGCGUCUGGAACUAGGGUCCGCUGGUUUAUACGCAAAUGUGAGUCAAGAAUCAGGGGUAUUUUAAUCGAUAUUAGAACGAGAAUGAGAGGUGAAGUGUGAACGCAUAAGGA
This 214-nucleotide long non-coding RNA is filed under the name Carica papaya (papaya). RNAcentral's name for it is "long non-coding RNA (CPAP_LNC014652)". Lineage: Eukaryota; Viridiplantae; Streptophyta; Magnoliopsida; Brassicales; Caricaceae. The record is from RNAcentral.